AUGCCAUGCAGAGACCCUUACAAGCUUCACGGGUUGGCCUGUGAAAAACUCAUGAACUUCAAAAAGGCCAAGUGCAAGGUCCGUCAUCUGCUCUGGGGCAAUCCGAAGCACACAUACAGGCUGGGCAGAGAAUGGAUUGAGAGCAGCCCUGAGGAGAAGGACUUGAGGGUGCGGGUGGACAAGAAGCUUGACACGAGCUGGCAAUGUGCUUUUCAGCCCAGAAAGCCAACCGCAUGUUGGUCUACCUUAAAAGCAGUGUGGCCAGCAGGGCGUGGGAGGAGCCACCAGCGUCCCGUGCUGUGCAGACACUCAGCACGAGGUCGUCUGGGCACAGAGCUGCCUGGCCCAACCAGGCUGCAGCUGUCCCAUGCCUCAGCUCUGCCGCAGGGAAACCCCUGGGGCAGGGAAACCUGGGCCUGCGGCGUGGGCGCUCAGGGCCAGGCCUCGUGCCCUGCUGCCGUGCCCCACCGCCUGGCACUCUCAGCGCUGUGCCAGCCCUCUUCCUCCCUCCCUGUCCCGCGGCACUCCUACGCACUUGGCAGCCCUUUGUCAGGCUGGGAGUGGGCCUUUCCCUCCUGCUCCUUGGGCAUCUCUCUGUCCUCUCAUGGAGACAAAGAUACAGGCACCCAGGGCAGCUGCUGCCUCCUGACGGCGCUGCGCUCCUGGGAGUGGGCACCACGGGGGCUCGGGCCCCACAAGGCACACCGCUACCAUGGGGACACCCCCCCCGUCACAGUGGCCUUGCGGCCCUGCGCCACCCAGUGUCAGUACCCAUAUGCAUCCAAGUUGAUGUUGACCAGGCCUUGCAAUAUCGAUGGUAUUCCCUGGGCAUUUGUGGAGGAGUCAGGCACGGCAGCAGGCAAGGGAGAAGGAAACGAGCAAGAGGACACAGCCAAGGGAGUGAUGUGCUGGGGAAGAAGAGAAGCUGCCCAUGCACAGCAUCACAGAAUCCAUCAACUUAAGCUGGUUGUGAAACUCCACUGUAAAGAGAUCCAGUCCAGGGCCACUGUCACCUUCUCUACUCUCAUCCAUCCCUGCUGCUAG
This 1044-nucleotide long non-coding RNA is filed under the name Anser cygnoides (Swan goose). RNAcentral's name for it is "lncRNA (ENSACDG00005017624.1)". Lineage: Eukaryota; Metazoa; Chordata; Aves; Anseriformes; Anatidae. The record is from RNAcentral.